This 662-nucleotide long non-coding RNA is filed under the name Manihot esculenta (cassava). RNAcentral's name for it is "long non-coding RNA (MESC_LNC001523)". Lineage: Eukaryota; Viridiplantae; Streptophyta; Magnoliopsida; Malpighiales; Euphorbiaceae. The record is from RNAcentral.
AGACCGAAAAUAUUUGUAAAUUAAUUUUUCAGCCCAAAAGGACUUCCUUAACAACUUUCAAAAAGUUACAGGGACCAAAUCGUGAUUUGAAAAACUAUCUUCUACCUUGAGAAAGAGCCCUAGCCACCACCACCCAUUCAACCAGAGCCAACCGCCGUUCCAAUCAACAGCGCAACCCGUUGCCAGCACAACCCGUCGCCAGAAAUCGCGCAACACUUGCACUUCCUACAAGCAAGUUAAGCCAUCUCCAAGAGCUACAUUGUCGGCGUAAUCACAAGGAGCAGCGUUUCGGUCCUCACCAAAUUGCAGCAAACUGUUGCCAUGACGACGAGGCUUUCAGCCACAACACAUGGUGUCGCGCUUCCCUGUCAAGCAAAGCCCAACGCGUCAACUAGGUCACACCAUCGGGACGACCUGUUGCAUUCUGUUCAUGGCGAUUUGCAAAACGAUGCCCCGAUCGUGAUCUCUUCCACACGACGUCGCAACUGCUGGCUCCUCUAGGCCAUCCGCGCUUCAUCGGCGAGACCGACGAUAGGGACGCGACUAAGGAAACGUAUUGCAGGCAAGCUAUUGACAGCGCCGUUCAUCGGGCAUGGGUGAUGCAGGUGGUAGCCGCGGCUGCAUGUUCUUCAAGAACACGAUUUGCAGCAACCAAUAUAUAU